Molecule: ribosomal RNA, 1113 nt
Filed under: Triticum aestivum (bread wheat)
Lineage: Eukaryota; Viridiplantae; Streptophyta; Magnoliopsida; Poales; Poaceae
Description: partial small subunit ribosomal RNA
Source: RNAcentral
AUGGCCGGACGCUGCAUGUACUCUGGCUUCAUGCCCAUCGCGACUCGAGCCUCCUGCUCCACGGCAUCCGCGCGCUCUCUUGCCGGCCGCCUUCUGCGCGUCUGCUGCUAUCUACGCCGCCGCCAACUACUACUGCUACUAGCUGCUGCGACAGUUGCUGCCGCUCCACCCCCAGGCAGACAGCACGGCUUCCCGGGCGGGCAUGCCCCCGUGCUCGCGCCCCUCCUGCUCUGCUUCGGCCACUCUGCCUCGUGCGCCGACUCGCCCCUGCCCGCAGUCGCGUCGCCUCCAGUCCGGCUGCUCCUCGUCGUCGCGCCUGUCCGACUUGCCGCACUGGGUCCUCCGCCCCGGCUGGCCUGCCCCCUCGCGCGCCGGCAGGCCCUCUGCUGCUCUCCUCCACGGCCCUCCCCGGGCCGGCUCCGCGUCUCCCCAGCCGGACCCGGCCUCCCGCGCCUCGGCCGCCUCCACGCACCCGGCCGGCCUGGCCGGCUGCCGGCCCUUUCGCGUCCCGCGCGCGGCCGCCUCCCUGCGCCCGCAGAUGCGCGGCCACGCCUGGCCGCCUUCGCUUCGCGCACGCGCCGUACUCGCCUCUGCGCCCGCUCGCCGGCUUCUCCGCACGCCGGCCUCGGACCGGCUCCUCAGCGUCGCGCCGGGUCCUCGACGCCACGUCCCCCGCCCCGCGGUCACGUGCCCCGCUCCUGCUGGCUCCGCCCCGCGGCCGCGUGCCCCGCGCCGGCCGGCUUUGCCUACCUCCACCAACCAGAGCCGGCUGCCGCCCGUCGCCGCUCUCAUUGCUGGGCCUCACGCGCCGCUCCGCCUGGCCGCGUCGCCCUCGCCAGGCCGGCUCCCCCAGCGCCUGGUCCUCCUCGCCUUGCCGCCUGGCCGGGUCGCCGCCUCCCGCUGGCCCCGUCCGACUCCGACCGAGGCCGCCUGCGCCUCCGCGCGCCGUGCCGGCUCCCCGGCUGCGCUUCUGGCCAGCCGGGUCGCGCUCCUCCGCUGCCGGCUCCCGGGUACAACACCCUGUCCGGCUAUGCCGCGUGCGCCCCCGCCGGAUCCCGCUCUAGCCACCUGCUGUGGCCAGCGCCUAAAGAAAAGAAGCAGAGGCCGGCUUAA